Dermacentor andersoni is the source of this 9807-nucleotide long non-coding RNA. RefSeq lists it as uncharacterized. NCBI's taxonomy places the organism in Eukaryota, Metazoa, Arthropoda, Arachnida, Ixodida, Ixodidae. The record is from RefSeq and is a predicted model, not a curated record.
ACCAGAGACUCUGGAGCACCUCCUGCUGGCCUGCCCUGCUCACCUGCAGCACCGCGGCUGACUUCUGCAGGAGUUCCACCGCCUGGGGCUACCAUGUUCACGACAGGAAGAUAUCCUCUUCCCCUGUCGUAAUCAGCUACCAGCCUUCCUAAGUGUCGUCGAGUACCUCGACUCGUCGGGGCUCUCAGCGAGACUAUAGGAAGUUUCUACAAAGACGGAUAGCCUAACGGCCGUCCCACCACCUCGGGCUUCCUGAUCCGCCACAACUUCGCUUCUGCUGGGCCACCUCCUAUACGGUCUACCACCAGCCUACUCCUCCGGUCGAAUCCACUGGGCCCUCCCGGCCGGGCUGCUCUGAUGCUGCUAGGGCGACUCUCUACAUUUCUCCCUCCAAACCUCUCUCUCCUUUACACCCAUCUCCACCACCCUGCUGGCGCUGAGCCGUGCUCCCGCAUUGGUUGCAGAAAAUAGUGCUAUCCUUUCCUCCUUUCCCCACAAGAACCACCACUCCCGUCCCACAGUGUAGGGUAGGCAACCAGACACAUUUCUGGUCAACAUCUCUGACUUCUCUCAUUCUUUCCUCCUCCUCCUGGUAAAGCUAUGAUUUGUUCUUUUUUGUUCUUGUUUUUAAUAUAUAACUUAAUAAUAAUAUAAACUAAAGCGCCACUACAGGAGUAUUUAAAGAAAACGCAGAGCGGUAUAGAACGACUGAAAGUUGAGCAAGCUGGUAGGGAUUUUUGGCUGCGCUGGACGACGCAGGAAUGCUUGAAUGUAGCACUUUUCUUUUCAUUUUUUUUUAGAAUUAUUUAGCAUCAGACUGGGCAGAGUUUAUACAAUGUGCUGGUUUCUGCGCAGCAUAACGUUGUAAAGACGACCGCUGUAGUAAGCCGCAGUAGAAUUGAUAUAAGAGAACAAUAAGCGAUAUUAGUUCAGUGCCCCCUGAAAGGACUCAGCCAACAAGAGUCCAAUUUCCCUUUUUUUUUUUUUUUCAGUGCGCACGCUCACUGCCACGUUUUAGUUGUUUUCAACGCUUUUUCUUUUUCCCCCGAUCCUGCUGGUGCUUACAAGCCAAGCAGUUCUCGGAUUAUUGCAUUACGCUCCUCCAGGCUGAACUUUCCUGCAGCGGGUCUCGCGUCUCGCAUGCAGUCUGCAAGGACAGGUCAGCGUUGCCCUUGGAGGUGGGAUGCUGCAACCUAGGGAAAAAGACAGCUUCGCAGGCCGACAGAGGGAACGUUGUCCUCGAGCAAAAGAGAAACGGGGUGGUGCGCGGAGCGAGCGGAAACGGCGCCUCAAGCGGAGGAGAGGAGCCUUGACACGCACCGACGCGCUUUCCUCUGCGGGGCUGUUUGUGCUCGUGACGCGAGCGUCAGUGAGCGCGGCAGCAGCAGCUGGGAGAGAGAGAGAAUCCGACUGUAGGCGAUCAAUAGAGGGCCCAGUGUCCGGGACAUGUGCGCCAAAAGCGACAGUGGUGGGGUCUUCGGAGGUGCCCCCCUUCCACCAUCGUACUCCUAGGGAGAACUCGGUGCCCGCUUCCCCAGGCGGGUGGUGCAACAACGAUCCGGGCCGCGGGAGAACGUGUGGCGAGGGUGCGCCUUGCAGGCGGCGCUGAGGGCGAGGGGUGUUGUUGCCAAACCGUGCGGCGACCGACCCCGGACUGCAGCAGUUGGGCGUCCCCUAUGCUGGUGCGCUGCUCGCUGUGGACGUUGCUGCUGCCUUUCCCUGCCACCGCACCGCUCGGAUUAUUACCGCCGUUUGUCGGGAUACUUGCCUUCUGAAAAGGUUUGUGACGAACGUGUGCUGGAGUCUGACGGUCCUGGCCCGGUGUGGCGGUAACAGCCGCGUCCGCGCGGCACCCCAGCGUUCCUUGUGGAUUACGCCAAGGCAGAAGAGAACAACGUUGCUUCACGGCGGAUACUGUGUGUGGGUGCCAGUGCGCGCGUGUUUUGUGCCAUCGCGUUCUGUGUGAAGCGGGCUCCAUGAGCGAGCGUGACCUGCCUGAUGCGGCGGCGCCUGUGACCGCGCCGUCGUGUUGUGCAUCGCGAGACAAGUGCCCCCUUUCAAGGAGAGAAAAGUGUGUUGCGUGAUCAGUGGUGCACCUUUGCAAUCUUCACACCUUUCGGAUAUAAUGCGUUGGUCUCGCGCCCUCUGGCGUGAGGUCCACUGUAAAUAGGUGCUCUGGUAAGUUCGGGAGGCAUAAACUGUAGGAAAGCUAAAGUAUAGAAAAUGGGGUGUUGUGGAUGAGGAAUGUCGCGACGCGCGGACGAGACCAAAAGUGCACGAGUGUACCUGAAGCCGCCGCCUGUGCCGCGGAUAGGUCGUCGUCCCCCACGGUUGCUUGCACUAAUGGUCGCCACACUUUCACACUUCGCCCGCACCUAUUCGAAUGCCAAGAAAUACCAUUGGCGGUAUAGUAAGAAAACGUAACACGGUCGAAUGAGGGCGUAAUGGCCCUGGAAGAACUCAUAAUAAGUAGCGAAGGUUUGCUGCGCGUGUUGCGACGUAUAUUCCGGUUCUGUGUUGCUGGCUGUCGCUGCAAAAAAAAAAAAAAAAGGAAGGAUGCGUUAACAAUGCGUGCCGCGCAAGCUCAGCGUCCAAGCGCGUGCUCGAGAGAGGAGAAAAGCCGUGCACUGUGCUCUUGGAGGCACGUCGCGGUCCGUCCACCUUGGGUUUCGACCACGGCUCUUCACAUUGUGCUCUCGUUGUCGUCCGAUCUGCGAAUCUGGAAAUUGCGAAUUCGCUUCAUGGGUGCACGCGGCAAGGCGAACCGGUCGCAUGGCAACCGUUUCGCCUUGCCGUUCGCUCGUAGCACACUGCAGCUGUCGUGCUUCCGUAAUGUUGUGCGUUUAUUCGUUUGUUUUUUCAAAGCUUUAUUAGACGAAACGCUCACGUGCACGCUCAGCACACAUUUAAGCGCUGCCAUCACGCGGUGCGCAAUUCUCUGCGCUCGUGUACGUGCGCGUUGCUUUUAGGAAGUACCGGCCCGGUGAAACUUGCCAGCGAUAGAGGCUGGUUGUGUGGCACCGCGACAGCACGUCAGUCUUUCGCAUCGGAACGCACCAGCGACUGAAUGAAUGUAUUUGCCCGCCGAUCUCCGCCGUCAUCAUGGUCAGCAAGCGUUAUAGUGAGACUAAACGACAACAAAUGAUUGAAAUGAACGAGGAGAAAAAAAAGACAAAGCCGUAUGAUUAUUACAUUGGCGCUCGAUUCGGGUCCGCAUGACGUCUGCGCGUUGUCAGUGGCCGCGCUUUGCCUUUAGUACAACUAUUAGCACAGUGACAAUCUCAGCAGUUCCACGAACUGCCUGGAUCUUUUCGUCUGCAGGCACGCGACCGGGGCGGCGCCUUGAAAGGCUCUCGGUUACAAUAGGCUGCCUGGAAUGACAGCAGCUGCCAUUUUGCAGAAGGUUUCUUGACCUGAACUCUGAUAUAUUGCCGACGACAAAAAAAAAAUUAAAGAAAGGAAGAAGCACGCCUGCGCAGGAUUCGGGGGAACGUAAACAAUAGAAAGAACAGCACGACAGAGAAGGGCCGGUGCGAGCAGCACAAGUACAGUCAGAAUCAGACUUCUCUGGAGCAGUUGAGCAGGCGGCUGACGGCUGCAUGAGCUCUCAGUAGCUGCUGGGUUCGAGAUAUGUUGGAUACGAGCGCCAGAAGCCUGCAUGCGGCAUGGCUGCUCGUGGCUAUUUGCGUUAUCAGCCUGUAGAUUUUGUCACGAGGGGUGGUGAACGGAAUCUGCGCUUUCUUCUUGGCCUGCUUCGGCGCGUGCAGCGGCCGCCGCUGCUGAUAAGAGAGCGAAAAUGAAACAUUCGUAUCUGGUUGAAGCCGAAAGAGUGGCAGUGUUUAGAGUUAUACAUUUUUGCUUUAGACCAUACCAAAAGAGCGUAGCGACUUGAUGAAACACUUCAAGCAGUAUGUAGAAUAAACGAUGAAACUCCAGAAACAGUAAGAGGAAGCUUCUUUACCUUAGGGAACGCACAUUAAAAGGCUGAAAUUGUUUAUCUGGCCUUUACCAUACCGAAUUUGACACGGCUUGGUGAAUUAAAAUGAAGCGAAAAUCCAGAACUGUAGGAAGCAAAGGUUAUCAAUAAAAAUUUCUUUUUUUUUUUAGAAAUUGUUGCAUCUCGGGACACUUAUAAAGCGAGUGAUAGUGCAUCAUACGGAGCUCCAAAUUACACCGCUAACUUGGAAAGAUAAUUUUGGGGUACUAAGCUUUGUAAUAACUUCAGAUAGGUUAUUUAUUCUAUACAUCAAAUUUAUCCACUUCCCAUGCUCUAAAAUACGGCAUUUUGCAAAACAAAGAGAUGUGUUAUGGUGCAGCGAGAAGCUAAGCAUUACACAUAAUUUGAUAUUCUUCUGCACUUUCCAAAAUUAAUUAUAUGAUUUCAAAGAUAUUAUUGGAGUGAGUUACAGGAUUUUUGAAAGCAUAUGAUACCUCAGCAUACCUCGGAGCCACUGAAUGUGAAAUCCGAGGUUUGCCCUUCGGUUAAGAUUUGUUUUAACGCAGCAUUAUUCCAUACGAGCAUCAAUUUGCUCUAUUAAAAAGUUAUUGGGCGGCUAUUUCAACCAAUGAAAGUAAAUAGCUCGGCAGACAUAUCUGAAGCCGUGUUUCAAGUGGGUAUGACAUACAUGAUUUAUUAAGCCUCUCAUGAAAAUACAUAAAUAAAAAUAAAGUAGCACGUUCACUCAAUCUGAUCAAGCGAAACUAGAGAAAGAAUAUAUAAGUGCACCACUGAAAUGCACUAACUCAAUAGACAACCUCGUCGUUCCAUAACAGACGAGAUCCUUCGAGGGAGGGAAUCGUAGAGCGAAUUGACGGGCAGAAGAUGAUAGCUCUCCCACUCUUCUUGAAUAGCUACCCAGAGUUGGUCAGCUGUGGCUGUCGUUAAACCCACACUUCUGCUCAAAUUUUGCCUCAUCAGGCCCCAAACAUGUUCUAUCAUGUUCAGGGCUGGGCUUCGUGCAGUCGCCACUCAAACGUUGAGAUGCAUAAGUUGUCCAGCAAUUCUUUGACGCACCUGGCUGAGUGCACCGACGCUUCACCUUGCUGAAGCAAAAAAAAAAAAAAAAAGCCAUCGGGAAAUGGUUCUUCGAGCACGGAAGGCAUCAGAGUAUAUUGCAACGUGUACAUGUAGUCGUGUACAUGCGAGCUUCGUGGAGCAUCCGUCUUAUCGUUGGCAGGCUGACAUUUGUCAAGCCGAGCUCAGCCCUGAUCUCCUUAGCACUUAGAAAGGGAUCUGCUACUGGACGCAGCCACAAUCAGCAGGUAUUCCACAUGUGACGUGGCCCUUUCAGGGUGACCAUGUGGAGCGUCUUCAAUGCGACCUCCUUCCCGGUACGCCUUCAAGACUCGGUUCACAGUUCCCAUUGGGCGAUCUGUCACAUUACAAAUAGCUCUAUGGGACAUUGUGCGUCCCAUUAUAGCGAUCGCUCGUCGCUCUUUUCUGGUCAGCCGUGCACCCAUCGCGCGAACAAGAGUGUUAUAGUUCGCGUCAGUCGUUGUUUGCGUCUAUCACUUCAUGUGCUAAUUGGCGUUGACGUGACCAUUUACCGCGGUGCAGAUGAAUUAUUGCCGUUCUUUAUGUUUAAUCACGUGUGGUUUUCAGAGCUAACGCAGGCAUUCUUGGCGCAAAUCUGCGCUUAUCACGAACGGCGAUUGUUGCACAAACGAUAGCAAGCAAAAAAAAAAAAAAAAAAGGCUAACGUAGCUUUGACUGUUUCGUAUGACAAAAUUUACCGACCGAUAUCGCAGUUUGGCCGCGAGUAUGCAAGCCGCAUGCAGGCUUCUGGCGCUCGAAUCCAACAUAUAUCUCGAACCCAACAGUUAUACACCGAGAGGCGGCGCUCGUGCAGCCGUCAGCCGGCUACUCGACUGCUCCAGACAAGUAAGAUUCUGACUGUACAUUUGUGUUAUGCGCGAUGCCUAUUGCACUGUUCGCAGAAGGCAAACGUUGCUGCACAAUGCCGGAACAUGCGCGCACACGUGUGUGUCUUGUUGAUUGUGGAUCUAAUGUCCAGGUUUAGCGUGAAUUAGCACGAUGAGCUUACGCGUCACUCUUGUGCGCUCACCAUCUGGCGCAAUCAUUAUCUUCAUCUUUCUUGCGUGAAAUCGCUUCGUUUGAAGUGCAUGUUAUACUAACAUGACGAGUAGUACGCUUUAUAGCCAGCUCAAGCCAGUCUAGCAAAUACCUAAGAAGUGAGCGGGGAAUAUCUGGAGAGAGCUAUGAGGUGCGUCCGACGCGACGGUGCCUUUCGCAGGUGUGAACAAGACGAAUGACCUUGAAAUUUGUAUUUUAUCUUGCUGGGCAAUAAUACUAACCCUUCCUCAAAAAUGUACCCCUCAAGCCCGAUUUAACAUCCCAGCGAGAAACCUUUCAAUAAUAUUGAUAAUGAAGAGACGAUUGAACACGUUCUUUCGCAGUCUCUCCAUGGACAGGAAAAGUGCCCAGAAAGGCGAGACGUUACGGAAACAUAUUCAGCGCUCCCCUUUCUGCGGAAGCAUUAAAUGCGCUGUUUUCAUUGUGUAGUCGUUUGCAGUAGCGUCACGCGUACAACUUGCUCUCACGCUGCCCAGUUCACUCUGAAAAUGAUUGAUACCUGAAUAAAAAUAUCUUCCAUUUACCGCACGUAUACCGUGACAUCCAACCUUUUUCUGGCCUCCGACACACUUAAGGCUGGCUGUCACGAACCUAAUGCAUCAAUUUGUUUGAAAAAGUUCGUUAAUGACGAUCUGCUUUUCUCUUUCUUUCUUUCUUUUUUUUUUCUGCUUAAGCUUUUACCGAUGCCGAGGAAGGCACGCUUCUCAGUAGGUUUUCUUUCUUUUUUGUCAGUUUUGUCAGCGGAGAGGCCUCUCCAGUGAGGUUUUCUUGAUUACUUCAAACGCAUUACAAAAUACCUUUUCUUCUGCAAUUUCAGUAAUAUAAAUACUGCCGCUUGUGGGUAUUUCAAGCGUUUCUCCCUAUCCGCGCCGCGUUUUGAAGUCUCUGUAUUGUAUUGCAGAGGCUCUAUAUACGCUUGGCGCAUCCUGUAUCGCGCUGCAGCUGCCAUUUCUUUCGAAUGCCACGCGCUCAGUAUUUCUUCAAGACGAACGCUGUGUUCGGCUCUGCACGACAGUCUCUAUCAAAAAAUUUUGAAGCCACUGCUCGCUUGAGCAAGUGAACCGAGUUUCAGCAUUCGCCCUCUUACCGAUGCAGCUUUGGAGAACAAUUAGAUAACUUGGCUUCCAAAAACUAUUGACAAGUUUUCUGUGGUCGUAAACAUGCCGUCACAGCGUGGAUAACAAGGUAUCGUUCUGCUCUGAUUAAUUUUAGGCAGGAUGCAUGUAUACAUUUCUUGAUCCUCUGCGCAACAUUUAUUCAGUGGGACGUACAGGAACGGGCGCUCUGUCAGACACUUCCCCACAUUUUCGUCAGUUCCCUAGGCUGCUGUCUUCUUUAUGGUUGCCUGAAUAGAAUGAGAUGAACAUAACGAGAGAGAGAGAGAGAGAGAGAGGAAAGUCAACCAAUCGAGCGUUUAGUUUGAUACCCUGGACAGGAGAGAAAGGGAACGGAUGGAGAAAAAAAGGAGAGAUACUUGCAGUACCGCAAGUGUGAUGGUGCGCUACUCUAGCGAAGGAACGGAGCAGGCAUUGAAGACAGAAAUGCGCAGCCGAAUCUGGGGUCAAACCAUUGUAGCGCAAAUAAAACACACAAAAUCGGAGCCCACGGGAGCUACACUCGCAUCUAAUUCAUUAGAGUCCCCUACAAGACCAGAACCAGCAAAGCAACUCGAAAACGAAAGGCAAGGAAAUUUAGUUUCUAAAUUGACACGCGGAAGUAUCGCUGACGCAAUCCGUGCCUCUUUUCCUGAUAUGAAAAGCCUAAAAAAAAGAGGAGCCAUUUUGCCCUGUGUAGGUGGUCGACCAGCGAAGCUGCUAUGGUGGUAUAAAUUAUGUUGGUGUAGGGUUUUGUUGGUACGUAACUAUACAUAUAAUUAUGUAUAUGUCAUUUAUUCGAAAUACAAAGAAAUAUCAGGCGCGCACUACGUCGUACAUACACAUAGCUACCGCCGAAGGGCUUUUACGACGCCGCUCUAAAGACGCAGGUGUUGUCGACGCAGCUGCAACGGAGCGCCGUUUAGACGCAGGUGGCCGUUAAACCGCGAGCAUCGACGUGAGCGACGAUAUGCGUUGACCGGGGCGCAGUUCAAAGAAGUGCGCGAAACAAAACACGUACGUUUCUUUGCGAUUUGCGAUUUAGCAUACUUCCUAGCUAAUUAAAUUUGCUGAAUGAAACUUGGAAGGACUAGAGUUUUAUUCUAGCGGACAAACGUCGGGCUGUCCUUUUCCCUCCUGUAGAUACCCAUGUAUUGACAGCAGACGGGAAUUCCACAAUAUUUACAACUUCACUGUGAACUACGUAUUUGUGAAAAGUAAAUAAACCUCGCCGUAAUCUUAGAGUCGUCUUCGCGGCUAAUUGUCACAUAGUUUGUUUCGGUAUAGUUUUCAUAAAACAACAGUUACAGCCGUUUUCUGUACUCCCUCCGUAGAUGCCCAUGUAUUGACAGCCGUCGGGAAUUCUGUAAUGUUUACAACUUCACUGUGAACUAAUUAUGACAAGUAAACGAAACUCGGCGUAAUGAUAGAGUCCUCUUCGCGGCAAAUUUCAGCGUGAUCUUUUUUCCAAGGUACCUAAAUUAGAUUUCUCCAAGAUAGGUACAUACUUUGAUUGCCGCAAGGCGUUUUCUAUUGGCCGCCACGAUUUUUCCGAAAGGUAGCCAUAUAGACGGCUUCGCUGUAAAAUUCGCGUGCAGCAGUUUCUCUGCUUCUGCAGUCUCGUGAAACCAAGGUUCACACUUGCAAAUCCAAUGUGCACGUUGGUGCGCAUUGCCUUUAUUCAUAGGUGACUGUCUGUGCUCCCGAGCACCGUCAAAGGUUUUCCUCGCGAAAGUGAAAUGGUUGAAUGAAAGGAGACAACGUUCGCUCAAACAACAGCUUCCAGCGGUGACGCUAUCUGGCAUUGCAGCCGGCCGGACGCGUCGUAAACACAGUGCACAAGGUUACACAGUUCCUGAAAAGGAGGGUGUGCGUUCAGUGUGACGUCUUCACCGUCGCUUCACGCGCCGUCUCUUGGUCGCGAGCGCUGUAGUGGAGCCCCCCGAAAUUCUUACUCAUGGCGCGUUCACAACUCACCCGCAGAACUUUUCUCCGUUGACCCUGAACGCGGGCUGAAUUUCUUCGCUGCUUAUGCGUGAGGCUGAAAAUCGAGACGUGCACUAUGCGCAAGCCACUGCAAUCCCCCUCCCCUUUAUUUUCCUCUCUCUCUUUUUGUGAAUUCCGUAUUGCAAUGUCUUUUUUCUUCUUUUUUUUUUUGCGGGCACAUAUACGGGUGUGGAAAGCGGCUGGGGGAAAAAUAAUCAAGGAAAAAAAAAAAAAAAAAAAGAAACGGCGUCCUUCACGGCUCGUGGCAUUUGUAGACGUUAAACUCUUCUCCUGUGCUGCGUGCGUGUUCGCCCAUAAUUACUGUCGCACACUUGCCAUGCCAACCGAGAUUCUGAUGUUCGUCUUGCAUAAAAAUAAAUUUAAAGUAAAGGGGAAGGAAAGCCCGAACCACCAAGGUAUUGCAGGCUUAAAGCCAAUUGGAAAUGAAAUAAUGUGGGGUGUGUUAAACAAAAAAUGUACUUGAAAAUCAAAGCCAAUCGAAAGAAAGAAAGAAAGAAAGAAAGAAAGAAAGGUAGCAACGAUAAUAACAGUAGGUGCGGGAGUUAACAAGUUAAGUUAAAAGUGCAUGAAUGCGAGCUAGUUGGUACGAACCCAUCGGGAAAAAAAAAGAAA